Long non-coding RNA from Strigops habroptila (Kakapo), 161 nucleotides. RefSeq lists it as uncharacterized. NCBI's taxonomy places the organism in Eukaryota, Metazoa, Chordata, Aves, Psittaciformes, Psittacidae. The record is from RefSeq and is a predicted model, not a curated record. The transcript is spliced from 2 exons.
GCAAAACUGCAUCCUUGGAAUGUUGCAGUACAAAGGGAUCAAGGUGGCUUGGGAUGGCAAGGAGGUCUUGUCUGUCAUGGCCCUAAAAGAGAAAAUGGUGAAGGAGUUGACGCUGGUGGGACCCACCUGGAGUACUGCAUCGAGCUCUGGAGCACUAAGCA